UUAGUUGCAGGGUAUAGACCCGAAACCCGGUGAUCUAGCCAUGGGCAGGUUGAAGGUUGGGUAACACUAACUGGAGGACCGAACCGACUAAUGUUGAAAAAUUAGCGGAUGACUUGUGGCUGGGGGUGAAAGGCCAAUCAAACCGGGAGAUAGCUGGUUCUCCCCGAAAGCUAUUUAGGUAGCGCCUCGUGAAUUCAUCUCCGGGGGUAGAGCACUGUUUCGGCUAGGGGGUCAUCCCGACUUACCAACCCGAUGCAAACUGCGAAUACCGGAGAAUGUUAUCACGGGAGACACACGGCGGGUGCUAACGUUCGUCGUGAAGAGGGAAACAACCCAGACCGCCGGCUAAGGUCCCAAAGUCAUAAUUAAGUGGGAAACGAAGUGGGAAGGCUCAGACAGCCAGGAUGUUGGCUUAGAAGCAGCCAUCAUUUAAAGAAAGCGUAAUAGCUCACUGGUCGAGUCGGCCUGCGCGGAAGAUGUAACGGGGCUAAAUUAUGCACCGAAGCCGCGGCAGCGAUAUGUAAAUAUUGUUGGGUAGGGGAGCGUUCUGUAAGCCUGUGAAGGUGACCUGUGAGGGUUGCUGGAGGUAUCAGAAGUGCGAAUGCUGACAUAAGUAACGAUAAUGCGGGUGAAAAACCCGCACGCCGGAAGACCAAGGGUUCCUGUCCAACGUUAAUCGGGGCAGGGUGAGUCGACCCCUAAGGCGAGGCUGAAAAGCGUAGUCGAUGGGCAACGGGUUAAUAUUCCCGUACUGGUGGUAACUGCGAAGGGGGGACGGAGAAAGCUAAAUCAUCCGGGCGACGGUUGUCCCGGUUUAAGCGUGCAGGUGGACUGACCAGGCAAAUCCGGUCGGUUGUUAACACUGAGGCGUGACGACGAGCCACUACGGUGGUGAAGUGAUUGAUGCUCUGCUUCCGGGAAAAGCCUCUAAGCUCCAGGUUAUCAUUAAUCGUACCCCAAACCGACACAGGUGGUCAGGUAGAGAAUACUCAGGCGCUUGAGAGAACUCGGGUGAAGGAACUAGGCAAAAUGGUGCCGUAACUUCGGGAGAAGGCACGCUGGCACUAGGUGAAGUGGUUUACCCAUGGAGCUGAAGCCAGCCGCAGAUACCAGCUGGCUGCAACUGUUUAUUAAAAACACAGCACUGUGCAAACACGAAAGUGGACGUAUACGGUGUGACGCCUGCCCGGUGCCGGAAGGUUAAUUGAUGAGGUCAGCCGCAAGGCGAAGCUUCUGAUCGAAGCCCCGGUAAACGGCGGCCGUAACUAUAACGGUCCUAAGGUAGCGAAAUUCCUUGUCGGGUAAGUUCCGACCUGCACGAAUGGCGUAAUGAUGGCCAGGCUGUCUCCACCCGAGACUCAGUGAAAUUGAACUCGCUGUGAAGAUGCAGUGUACCCGCGGCAAGACGGAAAGACCCCGUGAACCUUUACUAUAGCUUGACACUGAACAUUGAGCCUUGAUGUGUAGGAUAGGUGGGAGGCAACGAAGUGUGGACGCCAGUCUGCACGGAGCCAUCCUUGAAAUACCACCCUUUAACGUUUGAUGUUCUAACCCGGGUCCAUAAUCUGGAUCGGGGACCGUGUCUGGUGGGUAGUUUGACUGGGGCGGUCUCCUCCCAAAGAGUAACGGAGGAGCACGAAGGUUGGCUAAGCAUGGUCGGACAUCAUGCGGUUAGUGCAAAGGCAUAAGCCAGCUUGACUGCGAGAGUGACGGCUCGAGCAGGUACGAAAGUAGGUCUUAGUGAUCCGGUGGUUCUGAAUGGAAGGGCCAUCGCUCAACGGAUAAAAGGUACUCCGGGGAUAACAGGCUGAUACCGCCCAAGAGUUCAUAUCGACGGCGGUGUUUGGCACCUCGAUGUCGGCUCAUCACAUCCUGGGGCUGAAGUAGGUCCCAAGGGUAUGGCUGUUCGCCAUUUAAAGUGGUACGCGAGCUGGGUUUAGAACGUCGUGAGACAGUUCGGUCCCUAUCUGCCGUGGGCGCUGGAAGAUUGAGAGGGGUUGCUCCUAGUACGAGAGGACCGGAGUGAACGCACCACUGGUGUACGGGUUGUGAUGCCAAUUGCAUUGCCCGGUAGCUAAGUGCGGAAGAGAUAACCGCUGAAAGCAUCUAAGCGGGAAACUUGCCUCGAGAUGAGUCUUCCCUGA
Molecule: ribosomal RNA, 2144 nt
Filed under: Morganella morganii subsp. morganii
Lineage: Bacteria; Pseudomonadati; Pseudomonadota; Gammaproteobacteria; Enterobacterales; Morganellaceae
Description: partial 23S ribosomal RNA
Rfam family: Bacterial large subunit ribosomal RNA
Source: RNAcentral